RNAcentral lists this long non-coding RNA (371 nucleotides) under Brachypodium distachyon (stiff brome). Its description in RNAcentral is "long non-coding RNA (BDIS_LNC004465)". The record is from RNAcentral. Lineage: Eukaryota; Viridiplantae; Streptophyta; Magnoliopsida; Poales; Poaceae.
AUACGUAUGUGAUCUAUUUCAAGAAACCGCUUGAUGGAGUCUCGACCGGUGGAGAGGCAUGUGCUCACAACGUGUCGUGCGGCAGCUAUCGGCUGUCAGAGUGUCAGGUCCUGAGGUUGCACAACACAUCGAUCGUAGUCAAAGACCGUCUCUUGGCACACAAUCGCAGAGGUACAUGCGUAAAUUGAGACAUUGAUAUGUAGACAGGAACAAGCAACAUUCGGGAACAUAGCUUCUUUAUUAAUUUUCUCUCUUCUCAAGAGUACAUACAAUGAAGGGUUCCUCUCAUUCCCUCAAAAAAAAAAAGGGUUCAUAGGUCAACAGUUGAAAGGAUGAGCCGAUGAGUGUCCACUUAAAGUUAACAUGGUGGG